This 789-nucleotide ribosomal RNA is filed under the name unidentified microorganism. Its description in RNAcentral is "bacterial SSU rRNA". It matches the Rfam family "Bacterial small subunit ribosomal RNA", at positions 53 to 825 of the family's 1533-position model. The record is from RNAcentral.
ACAUGCAAGUCGAGCGGACAGAAGGGAGCUUGCUCCCGGAUGUUAGCGGCGGACGGGUGAGUAACACGUGGGUAACCUGCCUGUAAGACUGGGAUAACUCCGGGAAACCGGAGCUAAUACCGGAUAGUUCCUUGAACCGCAUGGUUCAAGGAUGAAAGACGGUUUCGGCUGUCACUUACAGAUGGACCCGCGGCGCAUUAGCUAGUUGGUGAGGUAACGGCUCACCAAGGCGACGAUGCGUAGCCGACCUGAGAGGGUGAUCGGCCACACUGGGACUGAGACACGGCCCAGACUCCUACGGGAGGCAGCAGUAGGGAAUCUUCCGCAAUGGACGAAAGUCUGACGGAGCAACGCCGCGUGAGUGAUGAAGGUUUUCGGAUCGUAAAGCUCUGUUGUUAGGGAAGAACAAGUGCAAGAGUAACUGCUUGCACCUUGACGGUACCUAACCAGAAAGCCACGGCUAACUACGUGCCAGCAGCCGCGGUAAUACGUAGGUGGCAAGCGUUGUCCGGAAUUAUUGGGCGUAAAGGGCUCGCAGGCGGUUUCUUAAGUCUGAUGUGAAAGCCCCCGGCUCAACCGGGGAGGGUCAUUGGAAACUGGGAAACUUGAGUGCAGAAGAGGAGAGUGGAAUUCCACGUGUAGCGGUGAAAUGCGUAGAGAUGUGGAGGAACACCAGUGGCGAAGGCGACUCUCUGGUCUGUAACUGACGCUGAGGAGCGAAAGCGUGGGGAGCGAACAGGAUUAGAUACCCUGGUAGUCCACGCCGUAAACGAUGAGUGCUAAGUGUUA